GGGCUAUAUCGCAUGGAAGCUCCGUAUGAUCAUCGAAGUUAAGCAACGUCGAGGUUGAUCAGUACCUAGAUGGGUGACCACUUGGGAAUACCAGGUACUAU
This is a non-coding RNA of Acanthosepion pharaonis, 101 nucleotides long. NCBI's taxonomy places the organism in Eukaryota, Metazoa, Mollusca, Cephalopoda, Sepiida, Sepiidae. The record is from the annotation of a GenBank genome assembly.